GGGCCCGUAGCUCAGCCUGGUAGAGCGGCGGGCUCUUAGGGCGGAGGUCCCGGGUUCGAAUCCCGGCGGGCCCGCCA
RNAcentral lists this transfer RNA (77 nucleotides) under Pyrodictium occultum. RNAcentral describes it as "tRNA-Lys". It matches the Rfam family "tRNA". From Rfam's summary of the family: Transfer RNA (tRNA) molecules are approximately 80 nucleotides in length. Lineage: Archaea; Thermoproteati; Thermoproteota; Thermoprotei; Desulfurococcales; Pyrodictiaceae. The record is from RNAcentral.